RNAcentral lists this ribosomal RNA (460 nucleotides) under uncultured bacterium. RNAcentral's name for it is "partial 16S ribosomal RNA". It matches the Rfam family "Bacterial small subunit ribosomal RNA", at positions 338 to 795 of the family's 1533-position model. The record is from RNAcentral.
CCUACGGGUGGCAGCAGUGAGGAAUAUUGGUCAAUGGACGAGAGUCUGAACCAGCAAAGUAGCGUGAAGGAUGACUGCCCUAUGGGUUGUAAACUUCUUUUAUAUGGUCAUAAAACGUUCCACGUGUGGGAUUUUGUAUGUACCAUAUGAAUAAGGAUAGGCUAACUCCGUGCCAGCAGCCGCGGUAAUACGGAGGAUCCGAGCGUUAUCCGGAUUUAUUGGGUUUAAAGUGAGCGUAGGUGGAUUGUUAAGUCAGUUGUGAAAGUUUGCGGCUCAACCGUAAAAUUGCAGUUGAAACUGGCAGUCUUGAGUACAGUAGAGGUGAGCGGAAUUCGAGGUGUAGCGGUGAAAUGCUUAGAUAUCACGAAGAACUCCGAUUGCGAAGGCAGUUCACUGGACUGCAACUGACACUGAGGCUCGAAAGUGUGGGUAUCAAACAGGAUUAGAUACCCCAGUAGUC